This 485-nucleotide ribosomal RNA is filed under the name uncultured bacterium. RNAcentral describes it as "partial 16S ribosomal RNA". It matches the Rfam family "Bacterial small subunit ribosomal RNA", at positions 30 to 506 of the family's 1533-position model. The record is from RNAcentral.
AUUGAACGCUGGCGGCAUGCCUUACACAUGCAAGUCGAACGGCAGCACGGGUGCUUGCACCUGGUGGCGAGUGGCGAACGGGUGAGUAAUACAUCGGAACAUGUCCUGUAGUGGGGGAUAGCCCGGCGAAAGCCGGAUUAAUACCGCAUACGAUCUACGGAUGAAAGCGGGGGACCCUCGGGCCUCGCGCUAUAGGGUUGGCCGAUGGCUGAUUAGCUAGUUGGUGGGGUAAAGGCCUACCAAGGCGACGAUCAGUAGCUGGUCUGAGAGGACGACCAGCCACACUGGGACUGAGACACGGCCCAGACUCCUACGGGAGGCAGCAGUGGGGAAUUUUGGACAAUGGGCGAAAGCCUGAUCCAGCAAUGCCGCGUGUGUGAAGAAGGCCUUCGGGUUGUAAAGCACUUUUGUCCGGAAAGAAAUCCUUGGCCCUAAUACGGUCGGGGGAUGACGGUACCGGAAGAAUAAGCACCGGCUAACUACGU